RNAcentral lists this ribosomal RNA (426 nucleotides) under uncultured Cloacibacterium sp. RNAcentral's name for it is "bacterial SSU rRNA". It matches the Rfam family "Bacterial small subunit ribosomal RNA", at positions 356 to 774 of the family's 1533-position model. Lineage: Bacteria; Pseudomonadati; Bacteroidota; Flavobacteriia; Flavobacteriales; Weeksellaceae. The record is from RNAcentral.
GGGGAAUAUUGGACAAUGGGCGAAAGCCUGAUCCAGCCAUGCCGCGUGUGUGAAGAAGGUCUUCGGAUUGUAAAGAACUUUAAGUUGGGAGGAAGGGCUGCAAGUUAAUACCUUGUAGUUUUGACGUUACCAACAGAAUAAGCACCGGCUAACUCCGUGCCAGCAGCCGCGGUAAUACGGAGGGUGCAAGCGUUAUCCGGAUUUAUUGGGUUUAAAGGGUCCGUAGGCGGACUUAUAAGUCAGUGGUGAAAGCCUGUCGCUUAACGAUAGAACUGCCAUUGAUACUGUAAGUCUUGAGUAUAUUUGAGGUAGCUGGAAUAAGUAGUGUAGCGGUGAAAUGCAUAGAUAUUACUUAGAACACCAAUUGCGAAGGCAGGUUACCAAGAUAUAACUGACGCUGAGGGACGAAAGCGUGGGGAGCGAACA